CCUACGGGUGGCUGCAGUGGGGAAUCUUGCGCAAUGGGCGAAAGCCUGACGCAGCAACGCCGCGUGCGGGAUGACAGCCUUCGUGGUUGUAAACCGCUUUCAGCAGGGACGAAAAUGACUUUACCUGCAGAAGAAGCCCCGGCUAACUACGUGCCAGCAGCCGCGGUAAUACGUAGGGGGCAAGCGUUGUCCGGAUUCAUUGGGCGUAAAGAGCUCGUAGGCGGUUCAGUAAGUUGGGUGUGAAAGCUUCGGGCUCAACCCGGAGAGGCCACCCAAUACUGCUGGGACUGGAGUCCAGUAGAGGAGCGUGGAAUUCCUGGUGUAGCGGUGAAAUGCGCAGAUAUCAGGAGGAACACCAGCAGCGAAGGCGGCGCUCUGGGCUGGAACUGACGCUGAGGAGCGAAAGCGUGGGUAGCAAACAGGAUUAGAUACCCUGGUAGUC
Molecule: ribosomal RNA, 442 nt
Filed under: uncultured bacterium
Lineage: Bacteria
Description: partial 16S ribosomal RNA
Rfam family: Bacterial small subunit ribosomal RNA
Source: RNAcentral